UGUAUUUUGUUGCUUGAGGGUCUACUUGAU
RNAcentral lists this non-coding RNA (30 nucleotides) under Rattus norvegicus (Norway rat). The record is from RNAcentral. Lineage: Eukaryota; Metazoa; Chordata; Mammalia; Rodentia; Muridae.